GACGAACGCUGGCGGCGUGCUUAACACAUGCAAGUCGAACGGAAAGGCCCUGCUUUUGUGGGGUGCUCGAGUGGCGAACGGGUGAGUAACACGUGAGUAACCUGCCCUUGACUUUGGGAUAACUUCAGGAAACUGGGGCUAAUACCGGAUAGGAGCUCCUGCUGCAUGGUGGGGGUUGGAAAGUUUCGGCGGUUGGGGAUGGACUCGCGGCUUAUCAGCUUGUUGGUGGGGUAGUGGCUUACCAAGGCUUUGACGGGUAGCCGGCCUGAGAGGGUGACCGGCCAAAUUGGGACUGAGAUACGGCCCAGACUCCUACGGGAGGCAGCAGUGGGGUAUAUUGCACAAUGGGCGGAAGCCUGAUGCAGCAACGCCGCGUGCGGGAUGACGGCCUUCGGGUUGUAAACCUCUUUCGCCUGUGACGAAGCGUGAGUGACGGUAAUGUGUACAGAAGCACCGGCUAACUACGUG
This 468-nucleotide ribosomal RNA is filed under the name uncultured bacterium. Its description in RNAcentral is "partial 16S ribosomal RNA". It matches the Rfam family "Bacterial small subunit ribosomal RNA", at positions 28 to 507 of the family's 1533-position model. The record is from RNAcentral.